This is a regulatory RNA element of Thioclava sp. SK-1, 88 nucleotides long. It matches the Rfam family "ALIL pseudoknot", at positions 1 to 88 of the family's 117-position model. Lineage: Bacteria; Pseudomonadati; Pseudomonadota; Alphaproteobacteria; Rhodobacterales; Paracoccaceae. The record is from Rfam.
AGCUUAUUUUGCGCAGGCGGAACUCGACCGCCCACUCAAGCGAUGAUCGGUUUCAUCGACGAUCAAAGGGCUGUUUACGGUGUCGAGU